Molecule: small nuclear RNA, 107 nt
Organism: Myotis daubentonii (Daubenton's bat)
Lineage: Eukaryota; Metazoa; Chordata; Mammalia; Chiroptera; Vespertilionidae
Source: RefSeq, a predicted model, not a curated record
GUGCUCAAUUUGACAGCAUAUAUGCUAAAAUUGGAACAAUACAGAGAAGAUUAGCAGGGCCCCUGAGCAAGGAUGUCAUGCAAAUUCGUGAAGCAUUUCAUAUUAAA